UGAAUGAAAAAUAGACUCACAGCAGGCUAUAUUAACAUCCGUCCCUAAAACAGAAAGACAUGUGAUGAAAGAACCAAACAGACCAAAAUAUGAUCCUAGUUUAAGAACAUUAGUCACUGUCUUUCUAUUCUCUGAAAACUCACAAUUAUGUAUGGAGAAAUUUCAAUGGGGGUCUUCCUGAUUUAGGAACCAUUUCUAGUAAUAUUAUAAGACUGUUUGCAGUUUGGACAAAAAAUGUUCAGGGUGUUUAUGAGAAGAUCAUGAAUAACUCAAAGUCAUCAAAACUCAAGAUUUUCAAUUUGCCACCUAUAUUUUUUACUAUUUCAAUCAAGUCUACAUAUAAAAUAAGGGGAGGUUACUCCAACAAACCCUAUACUUAAAAUAAAAACUUCAAGAGUUAUCGAGGAAAAACCACAAUUUCUGAGUGGAAUACUCUAUGACUUCCGAAAAUCAUAGAAAGAAACUAAAAAGGGAUGUUUCGAUAACUAAAUUCGAUAUUUCAUGAAUUAACAUGAAAUCAGAGACAACAAUUGAAAUAUCAAAUUUAGUUAUCAAAACAUCGACAUUUAGUUUCUUUAUCUUGUUCGGGUUCACCAUUGGAAAAUGAGAUAGAUACCACACUCUUGGACCUCUUCUUGUCAAUUUUUGUAUGUAUUGUUCUACAAAUGGUCUUCAAAUUUUUUCUGGUAUUUUUUCUUUAAUUUGGAGGCUUUCUUGAAUUUUUUUCCGAACAUUGUAAUCUAUGUAUUGCUUGUCCUUUAUUUUUUGGUAUUCGAGUAUUUUCACUACGCCACAGUAGAUUGAUUUCACACCUGUUCUCAAUUUUUUUUAUAGUAUUAUUCAUAAUUCUCAAUAUUUGUCCUUCCCCAAAAUUUUCAAAUUCAGAAACACUUCUUGUGUCCCACAGUGAAUCAGUUUCAUAAAAAUAUAUUGAAGUAAAUAUGUACCUAAAAAUAUCAGAAAACAAACUCCAAAAAACGUGAAACAAGGAUCAGAGUAAUAAUGCUUAGGUGCCAAAACUUGAAUUUCAGUAGGUAGAUACAGAAAAUAAUACAUAUUCUCCUUAAUCAAGAAUCACUCAAAUAUAUUUCAUUUGUUAAAUGGAAGAUUUAGGAGAUUAGAGAAUGCAGAUGAUGUUCUUGUGCAGUUCCAUUAUGAUCCAGUUAGCCAGCUAAAUAGAAAAUUUCUUACCUGCACCUUUUCAUAUGCAAAUAAAUAAAUUUAUUUCUACGAAUAUUAGUUAUCUACGAAUAAAACCUGCAAUGUAAAAAAAAAUUCAUUUAUUCGCAUAUGAAAAAACCAGCACUCAAUAUAUUAUAUAUUCAUUCAAUUAUGGGUUUGAAUUUGCUCAUGCUUAUAGAUUUAUUAGUUUUAUAUAUACCAAGAAAUUUUUAUUUUUUCUUCCUUAGGAAAUAUCAAUGAUUUCCCCUUAAAAUGAAGGGCUACAAAUUAUUUCUUGUGUAGGCUUGAUUAUCUCACAGUAAAAUGAUAAGUGAUAACAUAAAAAAAAAGAAAGUUAAAGCUUCAUAUAUUUCUCACAACAUUAUUUUACAAUUAUAUACAAAUAUAUAAUAAUAAUAAAUAAAUAAAAUAAAA
This is a long non-coding RNA of Harmonia axyridis, 1596 nucleotides long. RefSeq lists it as uncharacterized. The transcript has 2 exons. NCBI's taxonomy places the organism in Eukaryota, Metazoa, Arthropoda, Insecta, Coleoptera, Coccinellidae. The record is from RefSeq and is a predicted model, not a curated record.